RNAcentral lists this transfer RNA (69 nucleotides) under Ictidomys tridecemlineatus (thirteen-lined ground squirrel). Its description in RNAcentral is "Spermophilus tridecemlineatus (thirteen-lined ground squirrel) tRNA". It matches the Rfam family "tRNA". From Rfam's summary of the family: Transfer RNA (tRNA) molecules are approximately 80 nucleotides in length. Their secondary structure includes four short double-helical elements and three loops (D, anti-codon, and T loops). Lineage: Eukaryota; Metazoa; Chordata; Mammalia; Rodentia; Sciuridae. RNAcentral also lists the same sequence under 1 other name. The record is from Rfam by way of RNAcentral.
GGUUUAGUACCUCAGUGGUAGAGCAUGUGCUUCACAUGCAUGAAGUCCUGGGUUCAAUCCCUAGCACCA